GUGGGGAAUAUUGCACAAUGGGCGAAAGCCUGAUGCAGCAACGCCGCGUGAGUGAUGAAGGUCUUCGGAUUUGUAAAGCUCUGUCUUUUGGGACGAUAAUGACGGUACCAAAGGAGGAAGCCACGGCUAACUACGUGCCAGCAGCCGCGGUAAUACGUAGGUGGCGAGCGUUGUCCGGAUUUACUGGGCGUAAAGGGUGCGUAGGCGGAUGUUUAAGUGAGAUGUGAAAUACCCGGGCUUAACUUGGGUGCUGCAUUUCAAACUGGAUAUCUAGAGUGCAGGAGAGGAGAAUGGAAUUCCUAGUGUAGCGGUGAAAUGCGUAGAGAUUAGGAAGAACACCAGUGGCGAAGGCGAUUCUCUGGACUGUAACUGACGCUGAGGCACGAAAGCGUGGGUAGCAAACAGGAUUAGAUACCCUGGUAGUCCACGCCGUAAACGAUGAGUACUAGGUGUAGGAGGUAUCGACCCCUUCUGUGCCGCAGUAAACACAUU
RNAcentral lists this ribosomal RNA (492 nucleotides) under uncultured bacterium. Its description in RNAcentral is "partial 16S ribosomal RNA". It matches the Rfam family "Bacterial small subunit ribosomal RNA", at positions 354 to 861 of the family's 1533-position model. The record is from RNAcentral.